RNAcentral lists this ribosomal RNA (465 nucleotides) under uncultured bacterium. Its description in RNAcentral is "partial 16S ribosomal RNA". It matches the Rfam family "Bacterial small subunit ribosomal RNA", at positions 28 to 507 of the family's 1533-position model. The record is from RNAcentral.
GACGAACGCUGGCGGCGUGCUUAACACAUGCAAGUCGAACGGAAAGGCCCUGCUUGCAGGGUACUCGAGUGGCGAACGGGCGGGUAACACGUGGGUGAUCUGCCCUGCUCUUCGGGUUAAGCCUGGGCAACUGGGUCUAAUACCGGACAGGAGCCAUUUUUAGUGUGAUGGUUGGAAAGUUUUUUCGGUGUAGGAUGAGUUCGCGGCCUAUCAGCUUGUUGGUGGGGUAAUGGCCUACCAAGGCGGCGACGGGUAGCCGGCCUGAGGGGGUGGACGGCCACAUUGGGACUGAGGUACGGCCCAGACACCUACGGGAGGGAGCAGGGGGGAAUAUUGCACAAUGGGCGCAAGCCGGAUGCAGCGACGCCGCGGGGGGGAUGACGGCCUUCGGGUUGUAAACUCCUUGCGCUAGGGACGAAGCUUUUUGUGACGGUACCUAGAGAAGAAGCACCGGCUAACUACGUG